Molecule: non-coding RNA, 1070 nt
Organism: Paramisgurnus dabryanus
Lineage: Eukaryota; Metazoa; Chordata; Actinopteri; Cypriniformes; Cobitidae
Source: RefSeq, a predicted model, not a curated record
CAGAGGACAUCAUGUUUAAUACGGUUCCGGAAAAAUCCAGUCAGAAGUUGUUCACGGAGUUUUCACAAUAACUGCUUCUCAUGAACCGAAGCUGGAUUUGCGCGACGUCUCCUCUUGAAAGUUGGAUUACUGUGCACUUCUGGAUCACAGACUGUAAGUAUUCAUGUUUAUUAUUUGCCUUUUACUGUACAUUACGUAACCGGUAACCGGAGAUUAACAUAAUGUGCGUGUAGAGCUAAGCUUGCAAGCUAAUUGUUUUGUGUUGUAAUACUGUAUUUCAUAAACAACGUACCAUAUUUACACACGUGUAUGUUGAAUUAUGCAGGCUUUCGUUUUUUUUAUCGAUGUUGGUUUAGACAUGUUUACAAACUUGCUAAGUUUCUAAGAUAAAUACAAAUACAAAUGCCAGCUAAACUGUUACCGGUAAAAUUUGUUCUCAUGAUCAAACUCAAGAAACUCUAAGUACAGAUGAUUUGUUUAAAGUUAUAUGUAUUUUACUGUUGUAUUUACUUGAAGCUUUCUUAGAUUUUGAAACGAAGUAAACACGUAAUGUGUGUUGCUAAUGUUGGGCCAUGUAAUAUGUAAUACAUUUACGUUUUAAUGAAUAGUCUAACGAUUUAUAGUCGUUGUACUCUAUUGUUAUAAUAUUUCUUUUUGACUGAAUACAUGUUUGUUUUAUUUGUCUAUAUCCUAGAUUCGCAGCUGUACACAUCCUUCUACACUGUAUGCAAACAUGCAACAUCAUUACACACAGUACAAGGAGUCAGACUGGCAUAUGAGGAGCAAAGGAACCCAGGCAGUAGCAUCGUUUCACAAUGUUUCCAUCAUCAUCAUCAGUGGAUGCCUUUGCCGUCCGUAGCCUGAGAUUUCAGAUUUGCAGCAAAAAAAAAUGAUUUUCUCAUUUAUUGGAAUGCUGUGCAGGUAUUUGUACCUUGCAGCCAUCCAUUACAAUGUCACCAAGCCGUAACAAAAGCAGGAGAGGGAAAGUACAAGGCUAUGUUCCCAAAACACAAAUGACAUACCUUAUGUGGAGGAUGUGAUCAGGCUUGUGUUUGAUGAGGUAUUUGAAG